Molecule: long non-coding RNA, 1299 nt
Filed under: Helianthus annuus (common sunflower)
Lineage: Eukaryota; Viridiplantae; Streptophyta; Magnoliopsida; Asterales; Asteraceae
Description: hypothetical non coding rna
Source: RNAcentral
AAGAUACUUAUCAUGAACUACAUCAAGAUCUUCGGCUGCUUCCAUUUCAUCAAAAAUUCAAAACUAAUUUGAAGAAUAUGUAUCGUAAAGCAGACUGAAGUUAACAAAUUAGGGAUUAUCACAUCUCUAACCUGCACGGAAAAUCAUACAAUUUGCAAUCUGUCUACAUAAUUGAAGCCUAAACCUGAUGUCCGGAAAAGAAACGGAUACCGUUUGAAUGUGCAAUAGUAGAUGGGAUCCUAGAUGAACAUCGCAAAUCCGGAAUUGAUGGUGGCCUUGGAAAGAGCGCGGCGCCUUAAAACCGAGGGAAUAGUUGCGCCCUUCAAUUGGCCACAAAGGGCGGCGGGGUAAUAGUGCAUGAACAGUGCUUGACCCUAAGUCAAGAGCUCCAAAAUGACAAUGUUACCCUACGUUCAACCACCAGGAUUUUGGCAGGCACCACAGACUCGACCACCGCUGAAGACAGAGAGACGAGAUUAGGCGGUUGUACAGUGGUGGCCGGUUCCGGCGAUGGCUCCGCUUUGCGCGUUGUUGGCCGGAGUUCACCCAGUAGAUAUCGCCACGACGUUUUCCCGGGCAGCGCAGCUUAGGCGAACGACGGAUGUGGAGAUUUCAGACGGUUGCGAUGGUAGUUGACAGAGAAAGGGUAGGUGGAGCGUUGUGGUUGUUUGCGAUGGUCAUUGUGGUGGUUGACGGCGAACCGGUGGUUAGCUGCGGUGCGGUGGUGGCGGCUAGAUGAUUACGAACUUCGGUGAACAGUUUCACCAGCGGUCGGCCAAGGAAAUCACACUUCCACCAUCGCCACCAAAUUUACAUUGCGUGACGGUGGGUGUGACUGUGGUGAGUAUGGUGGUGCUUGGCGUGUCGCAGUGACGUUGGCGAGUCACAGUGACGGUGACGAGUGGCACUGGCAGGUGGCUGUGACGAUAGCUGUGGUGUAUCGAUGUCGUGGAGGACGUGCCGAUGGCACGUGGCGAUCGCCCUUGGCUGGUCGUAGUGACGGUGUUGGCGGGUGGCUGCGACGGUGGCUGUGGUGGUGGUUUGAAUUGCCUUUACGGUGGAUGGCAAAUUAGUAGGUGGGUUGAGACAUAGCUAGAAGGUGGUGGUGAAACAAUGGCGGUGGUAACGCUGGGAAAAACAUGAUGAAAAGCAAGAGAGAUGUUAUAUUGAUGGUGAUAGAAAUAGUUUAAAAUAAAGAUGUUGCAGACUUUUCUGUUUCUCCACGUGAGGUCAGCUGUUUUCCAUUAGUGAAAUUGGUGAAAAUAAUGAUUCCAUAUUUUCCAUUGAUUCAAAAAUUUC